Non-coding RNA from Xyrichtys novacula (pearly razorfish), 2036 nucleotides. NCBI's taxonomy places the organism in Eukaryota, Metazoa, Chordata, Actinopteri, Labriformes, Labridae. The record is from the annotation of a GenBank genome assembly.
UGUGCGUAUCGGCAAAAAAUGCGGAAUAACCCUUUAACUGUACAUUUGACAGAUACGCGCGCAUGGACUUUUUUGUAGAUCUUAUUGAGUUACAUGUGUGUGUCAAUUUUUGUGUCAUUUUGACAAAGCGUAUAGGCGUGACACUCAACAAUGUGUAUUUUCACCUUAGGGGACAAGAAAAAAUGGACUUUUUUCUCCUGCCAUGGGGGGGCGCUCUUUUGGGGAGUAAAAAUUCCUUCACAAAUGUGUUGAUGGCUGGACAUUGCAUCAUCCUAGAAAACUUGGAGGCCAGUGAGGACAAAAAUAAAAAGUUAUAAGACUUUUAAAUAUGUGGAUUUUAGGGUUAUCUUUGGCGCCCCCUAGAACCUAAACCGUGGGGUGCAGCGUCAUGAUUUGAAUAACUUUUAAUGGCCAUGGGGUGUAGAUUGGCCUGAGCAAAUGUGGUGCCGGUGGAACGAAAGCCUUCGGAGGAGUUAGCGAAAUUCCAAUGUGUGCAGAUCUGCAAAAAAUGCAAAAUAACCCAUAAACCGUACAUUUGACAGAUACGCCCGCACUGACUUUUUUGUAGAUCUUAUUGAGAUACAUGUGUGUGUCAAUUUUUGUGUCAUUUUGACAAAGCGUACACGCGUGACAGUCAAUAGUGUGAAUUUUCACCUUAGGGGGCGCUAUGGAGCCAUUUUGCAUUUUCUUGUUUGGGCGACUUCGGAAUAUCAAAUUUUUCACCAGGCCCGGUCGUCCUGCCAAAUUUCAUGAGUUUUCGCCAGUGGGAAGUGGGCCAUUUUCCAGUUCAAAGGGGAGGAAAAAUAAUAAUAAUAACAAAAGAAGGAAACAUGCAGGAACAAGAGGGCUCUCGCAGCUGCUUAGCAGCUACGCUCGGGCCCUAAAAAACCACUUGGGGAAUAAUAGGGCUCUCGCAGCUGCUUAGCAGCUACGCUCGGGCCCUAAUAACAAAAGAAGGAAACUACAGGAACAAGAGGGCUCUCGCAGCUGCUUAGCAGCUACGCUCGGGCCCUAACUAGGACCCCGUUGGGGCACUGGCGGGCCCGAGCUGUGUCGCGUCCCCCCCCCAACGCGCUGCCUCCCCGUCCCAUUUGUGUCCUCUGGCCAUCGCCCUCUCUGGUAACGCCCAUCACUGCAAAGACCCUUUUCCUUCAUCUGCGUUUGCUGUUCUUCCUGCCAGUGCGUGUUGCUUUCACUUACACUUGCCACAGCCAGCCUCUUGAGUGCCUAGCCCCUGCCCAUGUAUAAUCAUGUGCACGUCUCUGUUCUAGCUCUAAGGUGAAUCUUCACUGCUCAUGUUCUCCUCAGAAGCAGUCACCUCACUCCCCUCAGGUUACUGUACACAUGCACCAACUGCCUGCUUCAGGUUUGGAUGGAGCUUCAUGGUUGUCUUUUGGAGAAAUGACCAGUCAAGUUGUGUUUGAAAUUUGAUUUUUUUCAGGGGCAAAAGGAGCCUCUGCAUUCUUGUCAAAUAUGUAAAUAGCAUGUUUUUGCAGGUGCUAAAAACCAGACUCUGAGUGUGUGUGUGUGCGUGUGUGUGUGUGUCUGUGUGUGUGUGUGUGUGCGUUCAAGUCACAUGACAUAUUUAACCGGAUGUAGCUGCAAGACGGAGCCUCGUUGACUCUCCGUUUCAAUUUAUCUCAAAAGUGAGGACCUCAACCUAUAUAUCAGUUUUUAAAUUGUGUUGAUAGGCCAAAUAAAACCAGAGUUAUGAUAAAUUAUGUCCACGAUACUUGUUUUCUGCUUAUUUUGAUCACGUUCGGCGCUCGAUCGCGCUGUAUGAGACAGGAAAACAUAGCAUGCAGACAUUAGCGACAGGUCUUACAGGCGGAAAAGGCUUGCCAAAGGAAAAAAAAACACACCACAACAUCUCUCCUAUUGGUGGAAAACUUCACCACAACAACCAAUCCAAAAUUAUAUGGUGACUGAUUGACAAGGGGCGGGAACUUACGUUCUUCCUGCAAUAUGAGAAGGGAGGGAGGGACUCUCAGCAGGGAUGCAGUCUGGGACACGUAGUUGCAAACCUAGCGACUUUG